UACGAAGGGUGCAAGCGUUGUUCGGAUUUAUUGGGCGUAAAGGGCGCGUAGGCGGACUUUUAAGUCAGGUGUGAAAUCUCGGGGCUUAACCUCGAAACUGCGCCUGAAACUGGAAGUCUAGAAUCUCAGAGAGGAAUGGGGAAUUUCGCAUGUAGGAGUAAAAUCCGUAGAGAUGCGAAGGAACACCCGAGGCGAAGGCGCCAUUCUGGAUGAGUAUUGACGCUGAGGCGCGAAAGCGUGGGGAGCAAACAGG
This 253-nucleotide ribosomal RNA is filed under the name uncultured bacterium. Its description in RNAcentral is "partial 16S ribosomal RNA". It matches the Rfam family "Bacterial small subunit ribosomal RNA", at positions 524 to 776 of the family's 1533-position model. The record is from RNAcentral.